UGCCGAGAAAAGCUUCUAGCCAGAGACGGUGCACCCGUACCGCAAACCGACACAGGUAGUCGAGGAGAGUAUCCUCAGGUGAGCGAGAGAACUCUCGUUAAGGAACUCGGCAAAAUGGCCCCGUAACUUCGGGAGAAGGGGCGCUGGUCGCAAGAUCAGCCGCAGUGAAAAGGCCCAAGCAACUGUUUAUCAAAAACACAGGCAUCUGCAAAAUCGUAAGAUGAAGUAUAGGUGCUGACACCUGCCCGGUGCUGGAAGGUUAAGAGGAGAGCUUAGCGCAAGCGAAGGUUUGAAUUGAAGCCCCAGUAAACGGCGGCCGUAACUAUAACGGUCCUAAGGUAGCGAAAUUCCUUGUCGGGUAAGUUCCGACCUGCACGAAAGGUGUAAUGAUUUGGGCACUGUC
RNAcentral lists this ribosomal RNA (403 nucleotides) under Lactobacillus delbrueckii subsp. bulgaricus. RNAcentral describes it as "partial 23S ribosomal RNA". It matches the Rfam family "Bacterial large subunit ribosomal RNA", at positions 1606 to 2020 of the family's 2925-position model. The record is from RNAcentral. Lineage: Bacteria; Bacillati; Bacillota; Bacilli; Lactobacillales; Lactobacillaceae.